UACAGAGGUCUCAAGCGUUGUUCGGAUUCAUUGGGCGUAAAGGGUGCGUAGGUGGCGGGGUAAGUCUGGUGUGAAAUCCUGGGGCUCAACCCCGGAACUGCACUGGAUACUGCUUUGCUAGAGUACUGGAGAGGGAACUGGAAUUUACGGUGUAGCAGUGAAAUGCGUAGAUAUCGUAAGGAAGACCAGUGGCGAAGGCGGUCUCCUGGAGCAUUCUUGACGCUGAGGCGCGAAAGCUGGGGGAGCGAACGGG
Molecule: ribosomal RNA, 253 nt
Filed under: uncultured bacterium
Lineage: Bacteria
Description: partial 16S ribosomal RNA
Rfam family: Bacterial small subunit ribosomal RNA
Source: RNAcentral